Poecilia reticulata (guppy) is the source of this 238-nucleotide long non-coding RNA. RefSeq lists it as uncharacterized. The record is from RefSeq and is a predicted model, not a curated record. Lineage: Eukaryota; Metazoa; Chordata; Actinopteri; Cyprinodontiformes; Poeciliidae.
AUAAAAUACACUCGAGGUCAACACCACAAAAGCUAGUCAGCUUUAUUUGUUUCUGGGUCGCGUUUCCUGAGUCUUUCAUCACCGUAGAAAAACAGGAUUCAUCAGCAGUUUGGAUGCAAAGGAGGAUGGGUCGGGUUAAAACCAGUAGAAAUUUCUGCAUGAGGCCCAUCGGAGCAGCCAUUACUCAUCAAGAAAGAUGGUGAGUUUUUCAGAGUCUGAGGAGCUGAAGCCAGAAAGG